RNAcentral lists this ribosomal RNA (460 nucleotides) under uncultured bacterium. Its description in RNAcentral is "partial 16S ribosomal RNA". It matches the Rfam family "Bacterial small subunit ribosomal RNA", at positions 338 to 795 of the family's 1533-position model. The record is from RNAcentral.
CCUACGGGGAGCAGCAGUGAGGAAUAUUGGUCAAUGGACGAGAGUCUGAACCAGCCAAGUAGCGUGAAGGAUGACUGCCCUAUGGGUUGUAAACUUCUUUUAUAUGGGAAUAAAAUGUUCCACGUGUGGGAUUUUGCAUGUACCAUAUGAAUAAGGAUCGGCUAACUCCGUGCCAGCAGCCGCGGUAAUACGGAGGAUCCGAGCGUUAUCCGGAUUUAUUGGGUUUAAAGGGAGCGUAGGUGGAUUGUUAAGUCAGUUGUGAAAGUUUGCGGCUCAACCGUAAAAUUGCAGUUGAAACUGGCAGUCGUGAGUACAGUAGAGGUGGGCGGAAUUCGUGGUGUAGCGGUGAAAUGCUUAGAUAUCACGAAGAACUCCGAUUGCGAAGGCAGCUCACUGGACUGCAACUGACACUGAGGCUCGAAAGUGUGGGUAUCAAACAGGAUUAGAUACCCUGGUAGUC